AUGAACGCUGGCGGCUUGCCUAAUACAUGCAAGUCGAGCGAACAGACGAGGAGCUUGCUCCUCUGACGUUCGCGGCGGACGGGUGAGUAACACGUGGAUAACCUACCUAUAAGACUGGGAUAACUUCGGGAAACCGGAGCUAAUACCGGAUAAUAUAUUGAACCGCAUGGUUCAAUAGUGAAAGACGGUUUUGCUGUCACUUAUAGCUGGAUCCGCGCCGCAUUAGCUAGUUGGUAAGGUAACGGCUUACCAAGGCAACGAUGCGUAGCCGACCUGAGAGGGUGAUCGGCCACACUGGAACUGAGACACGGUCCAGACUCCUACGGGAGGCAGCAGUAGGGAAUCUUCCGCAAUGGGCGAAAGCCUGACGGAGCAACGCCGCGUGAGUGAUGAAGGUCUUCGGAUCGUAAAACUCUGUUAUUAGGGAAGAACAAAUGUGUAAGUAACUAUGCACGUCUUGACGGUACCUAAUCAGAAAGCCACGGCUAACUACGUG
RNAcentral lists this ribosomal RNA (496 nucleotides) under uncultured bacterium. RNAcentral's name for it is "partial 16S ribosomal RNA". It matches the Rfam family "Bacterial small subunit ribosomal RNA", at positions 29 to 507 of the family's 1533-position model. The record is from RNAcentral.